Molecule: ribosomal RNA, 427 nt
Filed under: uncultured bacterium
Lineage: Bacteria
Description: bacterial SSU rRNA
Rfam family: Bacterial small subunit ribosomal RNA
Source: RNAcentral
AGUUGGUAAGGUAAUGGCUUACCAAGGCUACGAUCUGUACGGUCUAAGAGGACGGUCGGUCACACUGACACUGAAUAACGGGUCAGACUCCUACGGGAGGCAGCAGUCGGGAAUUUUGGGCAAUGGGCGAAAGCCUGACCCAGCAACGCCGCGUGAAGGAUGAAGUAUUUCGGUAUGUAAACUUCGAAAGAAUGGGAAGAAUCAAUGACGGUACCAUUUAUAAGGUCCGGCUAACUACGUGCCAGCAGCCGCGGUAAUACGUAKGGACCAAGCGUUGUUCGGAUUUACUGGGCGUAAAGGGCGCGUAGGCGGCUUUGUCAAGUCACCUUGUGAAAUCUCUGGGCUUAACCCAGAACGGCCAAGUGAAACUGACUUGCUWGAGUGCAGAAGGGGCCAAAAAUUYUUUGGUGGUACCCGGAUGAAAAUG